Molecule: long non-coding RNA, 667 nt
Organism: Acipenser ruthenus (sterlet)
Lineage: Eukaryota; Metazoa; Chordata; Actinopteri; Acipenseriformes; Acipenseridae
Exons: 3
Source: RefSeq, a predicted model, not a curated record
UACUGGCAGCGCUGUGCAGGGAGGACCGAGACAGAGGAGAAAGCCUGAGUAAUGGUUGGGGCAGAAGCCGCAGUGGUGGCGGCCAUCUUAACUUGGGGCAGGACCUCAUGGUUGAGCCCCAUUAUUGCAAUCAGCUGUGCUGCGCUUGACGAUUGGCUGAGGUGGGGCAGUGCACUGAUUGUUGGGGUGGGGCUCGGCACUAUUUAGGCUGUGGGGUUCUGCCAUUUGGGUUGGCUGUGCUGGAUUAACACCCGCAAGAGACGUGCUGGUUUGUUUGUUUUCCCUUGCUUUCCCUACCCCUUUGGAUACCUGGACGGCCUAACGAAGGAACAUUCCACUAGACCACAGCUGAAUCACCCUAAAUUGAAAGCAUAACCAGUUUACUUGGGGCACUCACCAGAAGAUGUCCUGCAAAGCAGAUCAGCAAGAUGAAGGACAGUAUAAGGAAUGCAGCUCCAAACGAAAUCCCGAGGACUGGAGUUCUGGAAAACACGCCCCACAAGCCCUUUAAAACCACUAUUUCAAAUUGAAACAAAUACGCAAAGAUGGAAAAGCUCAUAAAUACAUUAUUUAUUUUAUUAUUGUGGACCCAGAAAACUGUAUUUUGAAAAAAAAAAUGAUACUUCAACAUGGCUCAGGUAUGAUUUACAAUGGGCGUCAUACACAC